CUGCUGAUUUUCCAUUACCAACACCUCCCUCUCUGUUCCCUCUGAGAGAUCAGCCCUGGAAAUGGAGGUGAGUGUGGCCAUCCUUCAUGAUGACACUAUCUUCUCCUCCUCCAAAGUGGGGGCUAGCAGAGCAGGGGGUGGGUGGUUGGCAGAGCAGGGUGGCACAGAGGACAGGCAGGUUAGCGCAAGAAGGGAAUGCCUAGGAAACUCAUCAGAAGCCACUGUAGUCCUUGCUCCUUCUGAAUGAGGAGGAUGGGCGAGGACGGAGAGCAGCUAUCUCUAACCCAUUACCCACUUGGGCAGUAGAAGUAUGUGAAAUACACCCUUUCCCCUGAGACGAAGGCGCACACUCCAAGGUGCUUUCAACAGGGAAAUGGUAGUAGCAGUCUUCAGAACACGGGAGCAGAGACAAAUCAAGGGUCCACCAACAGAUUCAAGAAUAAGCCAAAUGUGGUCCAGCCUUAUCGUGAAAUAUUACCCACCCAGGAAAAGGGGAAUCUUGGUACUUGCCGCAGUGCAGGCUGUGGAUUCGGUGACAAACCAGGACGGCAGCAUCUGAGGACAAGCAUCGUGGAGGCACUUUUGACAGGGACUUGUGAUUAACAGUGUUCCAAGGACAGUAGCACUCAGGAUGGGACAUGCUGGUCACCACAGCGCUGGAAGACGAGAAAAGACGUAAGACAGAAUCGCCCUUAUUUUCCACCUGGGGCACUUGGCAUUUGAGAGUGAGCAUCGUCUGUCUCGGGACCCAUGUUAAGAAGUGAUCUAGGGCUGGGGUGUGGCCCAGUGGCGGAGCCUAGUCUAGCCUGGGCCAAGCCCUGGGUUCAACCCCCAGGACCAUGGGGGUUGGAAAAAAAAAAAAAGAAAUCCAAAGUCCCCUUUGCUUUGUGUAUAUUUUAAUUUACAUAA
Long non-coding RNA from Marmota monax (woodchuck), 909 nucleotides. RefSeq lists it as uncharacterized. The record is from RefSeq and is a predicted model, not a curated record. The transcript is spliced from 3 exons. Lineage: Eukaryota; Metazoa; Chordata; Mammalia; Rodentia; Sciuridae.